RNAcentral lists this unclassified non-coding RNA (223 nucleotides) under plant metagenome. Its description in RNAcentral is "partial contains small subunit ribosomal RNA, internal transcribed spacer 1, and 5.8S ribosomal RNA". The record is from RNAcentral.
UUUCCGUAGGUGAACCUGCGGAAGGAUCAUUAAAGAGCAUAUGCCCUUCGGGGUAGAUCUCCCACCCUUUGUUUAUAUUACCUUUGUUGCUUUGGCAGGCCCGUCUUCGGACCAUCGGCUUCGGCUGGUCAGUGCUUGCCAGAGGACCCAAUACUCUUAUUAUUAAUGUCGUCUGAGUACUAUAUAAUAGUUAAAACUUUCAACAACGGAUCUCUUGGUUCUG